UUCAUAAUUUAAAUGUAACCUUGUGGCUUAAUAUCUCUAGGUAAUGAUCAUAAUAUUGAGAACAGCAGGAUUGCCUUAAGUAGAUAACAAGCCCUUAAUGUACUGUUUGAAAAAAGAUAGGCAUAAUUAGAUAAAAUACUCAUUUCUUUUAUUCAUCAAUGUUAAUGAGAAACUACAGUGUGUCAGCACAGUGUUAGGUAGAAGAGACAUAAAGAUUAAUACAUUAUGGUUUAUUGCCCUUAAUCAACCAAGCCAAUAGCUAUAUAUUGCAUUUUAUUGUUUUUAAAUAAAUGUAAAUUCUCUAAUUUAAAUGUAGCAGAUAAUUUCAUUGACUCCCAUACAAACAAGAAAUAGACAUAGUCAAGAAAGCAAGCAGAGAAUAUUGGCUCUAUGAAACUUGAUUUUAUAGCUUUUAGCUAGAUCUCCUUUUAAAUGCCUGCAACAGGAAAGAAAGAAGGGAAGGGAAAAGUGGGAAAGGAUUAGGAGGAAGGAGAGAAUAUCACACUGAGGGGCAGUAAGGAGUGGAAGCAAAGAGAGUAAGACUAAAGGGAAAGAGAAGCUGAAAGAGACUGAGGGCAUGAGAGGAGGGGAGAAUAGGAGAGAGUCAGGGCUUUCUGUCACGGCAGAACUCAGUCACAAAGCUCUGAGCCCAGGCUGCAAACGAGCAAACAGCAUGGACAUAAGUACUGGAUAUUGCCAGCAUAGCUGCCCUAACUGGGAACAGCUCCUGACAAGUCUCCCUUCUUCCACCCUUUCAGCCCUGCAGUCUGUCCUCACUGAAGCAGCCAGAACGAAGCUUACAGACUCAGUUGGAUCAUGUUUCUUGCUCAGUAACUUCCAAUGGUUUCCCAUUUUAUUUAGGGUCAAAGCCACCAUCCUUUUAAUGGUCUAUAAGGCCUUACACUUUUUUUCCUUCUUUAAUUCUCUGACCUUAUCUCCUGCUACUCUACUCCAGCUCACUGGCCUCCUUCCCUCCCUCAAAAUCGCAGAUGGGCUCCUGGCCCAGAGUUCUGCACUGGCUAUUUUCUCUUCUAGAAAUUGUUCUUCCCAUCGGACUUCUGGUUCUCUCAAGUCUUUACUCACAUGUCAACUUCUCAAAGAGGCUUGUCCUUAGGACGGAUGAGGGAGAUGAUGAAGCGAUUCUUUCUAACAACUCUCGCAAUCCUCCUUGCUUCCCUCUAUUAUUGUUUCUCCUUAUCCAGGGUCCUUGUCAUGUCAAUAGAAUUUAUCACAUUUAUGGUUUAAUAUCUAUCUCCUACAAAAGAAUAUAAACUCUGAAAAAUAUAGGAUUUUAUUUUUUUAUCUUUUUGUUCACUUAUAUACCCCCAACAUUGUGAACAUUGGAUGGCUCAUAGCAGUUAAUAUAAACAUGUGUACCUUAAUAAAUAAACGACAUUGGUUCUACACCUAAUUUUCUUUGGGGAUUCAUAACAGAGCACCAAUUUAUUCUUAGAUGUUAAACUUUAAAAUAUUUCCUCUGUAUACAUACAUUAACAAAUGUUGACAUGAUUGCUACUAAUACAUUAUUAAUGCAUUUUGAUUGAUAUGAAUACUUUGGCUUAUUCUCUUUCAUAAUCCAUGUAAACAAUCAUCACUUUCUUUCACAAUCUAUUUGGAAGCCACUAUCAAGUUUGUGUGUGUUUGUGUGCGUGUGUAUGUCAAACCUUCUACCCUAAUCAUUACGUGUACGUGGAAAAAGACUUGUAAAAUGUACUACGGCAGUACAAAGGAAGCUGUAUUAAACCAAUAAGUGUUAGAAGGGGCAUUCAGAAUGAUUUCAUGAGAUGAUGCUUGGUUAGGAAUUUUAUACUCAUUCUGAAAUUAUUUAGGAAAUGUAGACCGCGAAAACAGCAUGCUGUGAGAUUAAAAAGUGAGAAAUUAUAUGAAAGCACAUCCUGGUGGAUUUCCUACAUGGAUUUUCAUGUAGCUGUAUUUAAGAAGGGAACAUGUGAAAAGAUUUUCAUAUCUGGAAAAUAAUAAAAAUAUUCAUCAACCUCUUUCAAAAUCCAGCUGAAAUGAUGCUUUCACCUAUCCACCUUGUCAGUAAGCCACUCCUGCAAUCCUUCUCCUUACCAUGCAAACAUGCUAUCUCCUUUCUGUAUUCUUCCAUACUUUUUAAGAAAAAUUUCAAUUAUCUUAUAACUUUAAUAAAUUUCUGCCUUUCCUAUUAGUUUGCUAUAGAUUUUAUAGUUGCAAAUUACUCAAGCUACUUUUUAAAUACUAUAGCAUAAAAAGAGUUUAUUAGAAUUUCCUCGGGUAUAUUUUUGAAUGGUCAUAAACACUGUAGAAGCAGGAGUAGGCAUGAACAUGCGGUCACAGAUAUUGGCCAAUUAGGGUAAUGUCACUGGUGUCCCCCCUGACAUGUUCGCCACUAUGUGGCCGCACUUUGCCCCCUAGACACUCUCAACUGUGCCUGUCUUCUCUCAGCUACCUGCUGUCAUAAUCUGUAAAUGACACUCAGCUUUUCCUUCACUUCCUUAUGGUACACAUCCUUGGGUAGGGAUGUAUUAUUUCAUUUGCUUGGAUCAUGUGUCCCCCAACUUCAGCUAAACAAAGAGAGCACCUGUCUUCCAACUCCUCCACAACCACACAAUUUUCUUCAGUGGUUGGAGGAAUUCCUCUGCUUUCCAUUGAAAUAGGUAAGAUCUGAUGGCCUGAAAAACAUACAUUAGAAUCCACACAAUGACCUCCCCAGUGAAUAUGUCCUUCUUGCUAUAUUUAUAUAAAAAUAUCUCCUCUAAACCUAAUUAAACUACUUCUUGUACAACCAAAACCUCACCCCAAUGAUUCUGUAAGGAUACAAUCCAAUGUUCAAACACUGAAUUUAGUUUCAAGCUCAGAUUUCUUUAUAUUUAUUAUAAUUCUGCCUCAUUUCCCUGAUAGCUAAUGACGUUGAGCAUCUUUUCACAUGCCUGUUGGCCAUCCGUAUAUCUUCUUUGGAGAAAUCUCUGUUCAGAUCUUUUGCCCAUUUUUUAACUGGAUUGGUGGUGUUUUUGUUGCUGAGCUGUAUGAGUUCUUUGUAUAUUUUGGAUAUUAACCCCCUGUCAGGUAUAUAUGGUUUGCAAAUCAAAACUACAAUGAGGUAUCACCUCACUCAGGUCAGAAUGGCUAUAAUUAACAAGACAGGAAACAACAAAUGUUGGAGAGGAUGCGGAGAGAAGGAAACCCUUGUUCACUGCUGGUGGGAGUGCAAACUGGUGCAGCCACUAUGAAAAGCAGUAUGGAGUAUCCUCAGAAAAUUAAGAAUAGAUCUACCAUAUGAUCCAGCUAUCCCACUGCUGGGUAUUUAUCCAAAGAACUUGAAAACGCAAAGGCAUAAAGAUACAUACACCCCUAUGUUCAUUGUAGCAUUAUACACAAUAGCCAAGACAUGGAAGCAACCUAGGUGCCCAUCAAGGGGCGAAUGGAUAAAGAAGAUGUGGUAUUUAUACAUGAUGGACUACUACGCAGCCAUAAGAAAUGAUGAAAUCCGGCCAUUUGUCACAACAUGGAUGGACCUUGAGGGUAUUAUGCUGAGUGAAAUAAGUCAGAGGGAGAAAGUAAAUACCAUAUGAUCUCAUUCAUAAGUAGAAGAUAAAAACAAUGACAAACAAACACUUAGCAUUGGAGAUUGGAUUGGUGGCUACCAUAGGGGAAGUGGGGGGAGGGAAAAAGGGGUGAUUAGGCUCACAUGUGAAGGGAUGAACUAUAAUUAGUUUUUGGGUGGUGAACAUGAUGUAAUGUACACAGAAUUUGAAAUAUAUUAUGAUGUACAUCCGAAAACAAAUUAAUUAAUUAAAAAAUAAUAAUUCUGCCUCAAUAUUAUUUAAUAUAUACCAUAAAUUAUAAGUAUAGUAAAAUAUAUAUAAAAUAAUGUGGAAGAAAUAAUUAAAAGAAAAAUUAAACUAUGUGGUAUAAGAUCUGAUAAAAGGAAAGGGAAGUGGGUGGUAUACUCUGCAUUUCUGCAACUCGUCAUGGAAUUUUAGUGACAUUUGUUACUUAGAACUUUCUUCCUCCAUUGACUAGUCAAUCAGCAGUAUGACUUUCCCCCCCCCCACAAGCUUUCUUAGGUUGAUAACUCAAUUGUAAUUUCUGAAGGAAACGAACUCUUGGUGAUCUGUCUGGGAUGGGUGAGCAUGUUUCGUCAGCUUUUUCCUCAGAUGAUUAUUUUCUUCCAUAUUCCUCCAUGCCUCCAUGGUGUAGCAAAAUCUAUUUCCCUUUGGUAAUCAGGAUAAUCAUCCAAAACAACAUUGGGAUUCCACUUUUGGCCUCCUCAGUGGAACCUGUUAGCUGGUUCAGUUAAUUCAAUGCAUGUUGACUGUCGUCUCUUUGGGAAAUAUUUUACAAAGUCUUUUAAGCAUGGGCCUCAGAGUUACAGGGCCAUAAAAAUAUUUCAAGUGGGCCAGUAGGUCUAAUAUCAGAAGAUGCCACCCAACUUCUUCCAAUUUGUUUUUGGAAUCAUGACCAUAUCCAAAUCCAAGAAAUCUGUGUAUAUGUUACUUUACAUGGCAAAAGGGACUUGGCAGGGGCCGGCCAGGUGGUGCAGCGGUUAAGUUAGCACAUUUCACUUCUCGGCGGCCUGGGGUUCAUCAGUUCGGAUCCCGGGUGCGGACAUGGCACCUCUUGGCACACCAUGCUAUGGUAGUCAAUUUACCUCUUUUUCUCCUUGGUGCUUUUGUAGAACUGGUAUUUCUCCCCAUGAGUAAUUUUGCUGAGCAUC
This 4699-nucleotide long non-coding RNA is filed under the name Equus caballus (horse). RNAcentral describes it as "lncRNA (ENSECAG00000058025.1)". Lineage: Eukaryota; Metazoa; Chordata; Mammalia; Perissodactyla; Equidae. The record is from RNAcentral.